This 1057-nucleotide ribosomal RNA is filed under the name Photobacterium carnosum. RNAcentral's name for it is "partial 23S ribosomal RNA". It matches the Rfam family "Bacterial large subunit ribosomal RNA", at positions 98 to 1209 of the family's 2925-position model. Lineage: Bacteria; Pseudomonadati; Pseudomonadota; Gammaproteobacteria; Vibrionales; Vibrionaceae. The record is from RNAcentral.
CUUGAGUCUGGGAUUUCCGAAUGGGGAAACCCACUUGCAUAAGCAAGUAUCAUUAACUGAAUACAUAGGUUAAUGAGGCAAACCGGGGGAACUGAAACAUCUAAGUACCCCGAGGAAGAGAAAUCAACCGAGAUUCCGGUAGUAGCGGCGAGCGAAACCGGAUUAGCCCUUAAGCUAGUUCUGCGUUAGGUGAAUGUACUGGAAAGUACAGCGAUACAGGGUGAUAGCCCCGUAACCAAAAAUGCAGUCUUAGUGAAAUCGAGUAGGACGGGACACGUGAUAUCCUGUUUGAACAUGGGGGGACCAUCCUCCAAGGCUAAAUACUCCUGACUGACCGAUAGUGAACCAGUACCGUGAGGGAAAGGCGAAAAGAACCCCUGUGAGGGGAGUGAAAUAGAACCUGAAACCGUGUACGUACAAGCAGUAGGAGCCCACUUGUUGGGUGACUGCGUACCUUUUGUAUAAUGGGUCAGCGACUUAAUUUUAGUAGCAAGGUUAACCGUUUAGGGGAGCCGUAGGGAAACCGAGUCUUAACUGGGCGAAUUAGUUGCUAGGAUUAGACCCGAAACCGAGUGAUCUAGCCAUGGGCAGGUUGAAGGUGAGGUAACACUUACUGGAGGACCGAACCGACUAAUGUUGAAAAAUUAGCGGAUGACUUGUGGCUAGGGGUGAAAGGCCAAUCAAACUCGGAGAUAGCUGGUUCUCCCCGAAAGCUAUUUAGGUAGCGCCUCGGACGAAUACUACUGGGGGUAGAGCACUGUUAAGGCUAGGGGGUCAUCCCGACUUACCAACCCUUUGCAAACUCCGAAUACCAGUAAGUAAUAUCCGGGAGACACACGGCGGGUGCUAACGUCCGUCGUGAAGAGGGAAACAACCCAGACCGCCAGCUAAGGUCCCAAAGUUAUAGCUAAGUGGGAAACGAUGUGGGAAGGCUCAGACAGCCAGGAUGUUGGCUUAGAAGCAGCCAUCAUUUAAAGAAAGCGUAAUAGCUCACUGGUCGAGUCGGCCUGCGCGGAAGAUUUAACGGGGCUAAGCUAUACACCGAAGCUGCGGCAAU